UACAGAGGGUGCAAGCGUUGUUCGGAAUUACUGGGCGUAAAGGGCGCGUAGGCGGCCUGUUAAGUCGAACGUGAAAUCCCCGGGCUCAACCCGGGAACUGCGUCCGAUACUGGCAGGCUUGAAUCCGGGAGAGGGAUGCGGAAUUCCAGGUGUAGCGGUGAAAUGCGUAGAUAUCGGGAGGAACACCAGUGGCGAAGGCGACUUUCUGGGCUGUUCCUGACGCUGAGGCGCGAAAGCCAGGGGAGCGAACGGG
RNAcentral lists this ribosomal RNA (253 nucleotides) under uncultured bacterium. RNAcentral describes it as "partial 16S ribosomal RNA". It matches the Rfam family "Bacterial small subunit ribosomal RNA", at positions 524 to 776 of the family's 1533-position model. The record is from RNAcentral.